AUGACCGAGUGUCGGGGUGGCUGCCACCCACACUCAGGCCGGCUCUGUGUUCCCACCGUUUUGAUACAAUGGGCGAUUUUAAGAAGAGCUCGGGGCACAAACAGAACCGCAGCUGCUGUUUCUGGACCGGAUUUCAGGCUUGUAGACGCUGCGCCUGGUGACACCGGUAUCCUCGUGCCCUCUGUGGAGGCCGGGUGGCCUGCGUCUGAGGGGCGAGGCUGGGGUCCGGAGUCCGGGUGGCCUGCGUCCGCGGGGCGAGGCCGGGGUCCGGCUCCAGGUGGCCGGUGUCCGAGGAGCGAGGUUGGGGUCCGGGUCCGGGGUCCGGGCGGCCUGCGUCUGCGGGGCGAGGCUGGGGUCCGGCUCCGGGGUUCGGGCGGCCUGCGUCCGCGGGGCAAGGCUGGGGUCCGGGUCCGGGAGGCCUGCGUCCGCGGGGCGAGGCCGGGGUCCGGCUCCGGGAGGCCCGCGUCCGAGGGGCGAGGCCGGGGUCCGGGGUCCGGCUCCGGGUGGCUGCGUCCGAGGGGCGAGGCUGGGGUCUGGGGUCCGGGGUUCAGGCGGCCUGCGUCCGAGGGGCGAGGCGCGAGGCCGGGGUCCGGCUCCGGGUGCCUGCGUCUGAGGGCGAGGC
RNAcentral lists this long non-coding RNA (622 nucleotides) under Oryctolagus cuniculus (rabbit). Its description in RNAcentral is "lncRNA (ENSOCUG00000031097.1)". Lineage: Eukaryota; Metazoa; Chordata; Mammalia; Lagomorpha; Leporidae. The record is from RNAcentral.